UAUGAUCUAUAUGGACUUGAUGAUGAA
Molecule: small RNA, 27 nt
Filed under: Bombyx mori (domestic silkworm)
Lineage: Eukaryota; Metazoa; Arthropoda; Insecta; Lepidoptera; Bombycidae
Description: ovarian small RNA-6641
Source: RNAcentral